This 1052-nucleotide ribosomal RNA is filed under the name Streptomyces sp. Its description in RNAcentral is "bacterial SSU rRNA". It matches the Rfam family "Bacterial small subunit ribosomal RNA", at positions 40 to 1110 of the family's 1533-position model. The record is from RNAcentral. Lineage: Bacteria; Bacillati; Actinomycetota; Actinomycetes; Kitasatosporales; Streptomycetaceae.
GGGCAAUGCGGUUUACAUUCGUCGCGGUGAUCUGGGCCGACUGCGGUGGGGAUUAGUCGAACUAUACAUGAGUGAGUAACCGUGGGCAAUCUGCCCUGCACUCUGGGACAAGCCCUGGAAACGGGGUCUAAUACCGGAUACUGACCGUCACAGGCAUCUGUGACGGUCGAAAGCUCCGGCGGUGCAGGAUGAGCCCGCGGCCUAUCAGCUUGUUGGUGAGGUAACGGCUCACCAAGGCGACGACGGGUAGCCGGCCUGAGAGGGCGACCGGCCACACUGGGACUGAGACACGGCCCAGACUCCUACGGGAGGCAGCAGUGGGGAAUAUUGCACAAUGGGCGAAAGCCUGAUGCAGCGACGCCGCGUGAGGGAUGACGGCCUUCGGGUUGUAAACCUCUUUCAGCAGGGAAGAAGCGAAAGUGACGGUACCUGCAGAAGAAGCGCCGGCUAACUACGUGCCAGCAGCCGCGGUAAUACGUAGGGCGCAAGCGUUGUCCGGAAUUAUUGGGCGUAAAGAGCUCGUAGGCGGCUUGUCACGUCGGUUGUGAAAGCCCGGGGCUUAACCCCGGGUCUGCAGUCGAUACGGGCAGGCUAGAGUUCGGUAGGGGAGAUCGGAAUUCCUGGUGUAGCGGUGAAAUGCGCAGAUAUCAGGAGGAACACCGGUGGGCGAAGGCGGAUCUCUGGGCCGAUACUGACGCUGAGGAGCGACAGCGGUGGGGGGAGCGAACAGGAUUAGGAUACCCUGGUAGUCCCACGGCGUAAACGGGUGGGCCCUAGGUGUGGGCAACAUUCCACGUUGUCCGGUGCCCGCAGCUAACGCAUUAGUGGCCCGCCUUGGGAGUUACCGCCCGCCAAGCUAAACUUCAAGGAAUUGACGGGGUCGACAUGCGGCGUGACAUUGUGGCUUAUUGCGCGCACCGGAGAAUCUUACCAGGGUUGACAUAACCGGAAGCUUGGAUCACGGCGCCCCCUUGGACGGGUUACAGGUGACUUGGCUGUCUCACGCUUGUUGGAAGUGUUAUCGCAAGACACUUCGUGCCAAGGCCUUAUUG